Molecule: non-coding RNA, 2922 nt
Organism: Equus caballus (horse)
Lineage: Eukaryota; Metazoa; Chordata; Mammalia; Perissodactyla; Equidae
Source: RefSeq, a predicted model, not a curated record
AUCAGAAGGAAAAAGAAAGUGAGAUUUUUCAUCAUGGGUUGGCUGCAUCCCUCUACCACAGAGCAUAGCUCCUGUCAGGUGGCCCUCACCAUACAGCAACCCUUCCCCAGUUCCCAUAACCACUCUCUCCCAGGGGCCUGACAGAUACACUGGGGAAAAACAUUCCAGGCAGAAGGAAAAGAAGGACAAAGCACAAAUGUGCUUGGAAAGCUUAAAGAAUGAUCAGACUAGUGUGGCUGGAAUGGCAGAGGUGACGGAGGGAUUGGUAGGAGAUAAUGUCAAGAGGUAAGGGAGGCCAGACUAUGAGGGCUUUGCAGGCUACCGGAAAGACUUUGGCUUUUAACAUGAGUGAGAUGGGGAGCAAUUGGAGGAUGCUGAACAAAAGACUGACAUACUCAAACUAUGUUUUAACAGCAUCACUUUAGGAGACUGGUGACAGGCAAGAGAGGAUGGUGGCUUAAAUUAGAGUGGUAGCAAUGGAGAUGGUGAGAAGUGGUCGGAUUCCAAAUAGGUUUUAAAGGGGGUGCUGAAGAAUCCUGUUAACUAAAAUGACCAGAGAAAAAGUCCAAACCCAAGACCAGAGACUUACUACCCUGCUUGUCAUUGUAUAUCACUAAAAAUUCUGUUAUUCAGUAAGAUUUCAGCAUGACAAUCCCAAUACCCUACUACUUGUGUGGGACACACAAUUCUAGGCCAAAGGCCAACCCCCAAAGUUUCCCCAGACUGUACCUGACUCCAGAACAACUCCAGAAAACUAUCAUCACGGACUUUCUAGCCAAGCAACCCCACUCUACAGCCAGAACUCUAUAAGGGUCGUGUUGGGCGCCAUUUUGUCCCGAUUGGCUCCAGCCACUCUAUCUCCAUGGGCUCCUCCAUGAGCUGGCCUAACCAUGUCACAUCAGAAUUCUGGGAAACACUGUCCACACCUGCCCUGUCCAUACCUCCUGUCCUCUGCUCAUCAUCACUCACAGGCUGGCAGCAGACAGAUCACAUCCAUCAACCACUAAGCAGAGAGAGAUGGGUCCCAGGGGCAGUCAGAACACAGUGUGGGCAACAUCUCAGGUACCAUGACUUUAAUAAGGAUUUUAAAAUUUGCCGGGAAAGCAGGCAACCAUCAACCAUAGACAGAUCAUCGGAAAGGAGGGAAAAAUAGAAAGCUUGGCCCCACGGGCUGAAAGCUCCAGCCUGAAAUAUCUCCUGGGAACAAAAGCACCCCGGCAUUUUUUGGUGCACACUGUUAACUCUCAGGAUAAGGCCUGUUGCUUCAUAUUCGUGAACCCCCAGCAAAGGCACCCAGCUGGAAAGUGGAGAACAGCACAUGAUUCUGAGGGCUCAUUUCAGAGCCAGGAAAAACUGAUGGUAUUUUGUUUAUGUUCAAAGAAAUCAAUCCAAAGAGAUCAGCCCCACAGCCAAAGUCAGCAAGACCGGGGAGCAAAUUGCUGCCAACCAAGGAGGGGUCGACCUGCACUGGAAUCUCGGAUCCAACAGUUUCAAGCUGUGUGCCCUUGGGUUUGGAUUACAAGGCAAAACGAGACAUGGCUACCGCCCUCAGAGAACUCCUAGUCUAGUGGGAGAGACAGACAGCCCCAUGGUGUAUAUGAAGAGCUGGAGAGGGGGUUGCAGAGGUGGGAAAGUGUCUGGUUGCCUCUGAGGGGUCAGGGAAAGCUUUACAAAAAAGAGGAGACUUGAACUUGGCCUUGAAGCCUGAGUAUAUUUUUCCAAACAGAGAGAGGGUCAACAGGCAUCUCAGGGGAGGAGGUGGCAUGGAGGAGAGAAGGGCAGUGUGUGUUUGGGGUUCUGUGCAGCCAGAUGGUAAGGUCUAGGAGAUAAGCAGCAAUGAGUCUUGGAAGGAGAAUCUGGAGCCAGCUCGCCAAGGGCAUGCCAGGCUGACGGGAAGCUGGAUUGCAGGGGGUUACAGUGCAAGGCUGAGGAGGCUGGAUCUGGUGAAUGUUGGGAAGGGACAUGAUGAAAGCUGUGUUUUAAGAAGAUAAUUCUGGAAGGCAGAGAGACCAGAAGAAGAACAGAGACGAGUUAGGAGGCUGCUGCAAUGGUCCUGGCACAAGCUGAGGCCCGGAACUUGAGUGUUGACCGUGGGAAUGGAAAUUAAGUGGCAGAGAAGAGAUACCUCUGGGGCCUACUUCUCCAGCUCUGGCCUUUAUCCUGGAUUCACUCUUCACCUUUCCCCGGUGCCUUCUCCCUUGACGAUCUUAACGGAUCCUGGGCCUCAACUCCCACCUCAAUGUGGAUUUAUCCCAAAUCCAUAUCUUGAGAUCUGACCUCUCAUCUGCCCCUGGGACCAGCUUCUGGCUGCUCUCUGGACAUUCCCAGGUAACCAUCUCAUCAGCACAUUCAAAACUGUCAUUGUGGUGCCUGCGCUUCAGCCUUAAACCAGCUCAGGAGAACCGUGUACCUCAGCUCACCAUUAGCCAGGGGCCUAACUCAGGGACUGAAGGAUCAUUUUACACCUUUCUAGGGCAGACAUGAUUUCCCAGUUCUAAACCACCAAUUUAUACGUGGACUUAGAGGACUCAACACAUUCACACCUUGGGGAUGGCCUUCCUUCACCCACUCACUGUCAAGUUCCUCAGCGGUGGCCCUCGGCCAGGGGUGGGCUCUCCCGGGCCCUGGAAGAAUUUGGAAAUGUGUAGAGGCCUUUCUGGUUGUCACAAUGACUCCAGGGUACUAGUGGCACUUAGGGUCAGGAAUCAGGAUAACCAUCCUGCAAUGCUCUGGUGCUUCCCACACAGCAAAGGAUGAUCUCACCCUGAGCGCCAAGAGUGCUCUCACUGAGAACCACUGUGACCACAAGCUCGCUGAGGGCAGGGACUCCGUCUGUUUUGUUCUCUCCUUUGUUCCCAGCAUGUAGCAGAGUGCACAGCACACAAGGGUGUGCAAUAAAUGUUCGUUAAAUUAAUAAAUUGA